AAUUACUAAGUAUAGUUUUAUACAUUUGCUUUGAAAGCUUAAAAUGAGUAACUCAGUAAUUU
This 62-nucleotide transfer RNA is filed under the name Hyalella kochi. Its description in RNAcentral is "tRNA-Ser". The record is from RNAcentral. Lineage: Eukaryota; Metazoa; Arthropoda; Malacostraca; Amphipoda; Hyalellidae.